RNAcentral lists this unclassified non-coding RNA (217 nucleotides) under Glomus sp. Its description in RNAcentral is "partial contains 5.8S ribosomal RNA and internal transcribed spacer 2". The stretch from base 1 to 65 matches the Rfam family "5.8S ribosomal RNA", at positions 84 to 154 of the family's 154-position model. The record is from RNAcentral. Lineage: Eukaryota; Fungi; Glomeromycota; Glomeromycetes; Glomerales; Glomeraceae.
GUGAAUCAUCAAAUUUUUGAACGCAAAUUGCACUCUCUUCGGUGAGUAUGCGUGUUUCAGGGUCAGCCUAUAAAAAAUCGACCUCGUAGCUGUUUCGCGGUGGCGUUCGUCGGAAAUUGGGUCAUCUUAUAUCCUUUUGGUUUUUAAGAGACUUAAAAUUUUCUUUUUGGUUCCCUGAUCGUUUCUAAGUUUUAUUUCAUUACACGUUUAUGGUAUC